AUGAGCUUCGGCGGCGCCAGCUCCGUUGCGGCCGGUGGGAAGCGGCCGUUCGAGUACGGGAGGACGCAUGUGGUGAGGCCCAAGGGCGCGCACAAGGCCACCAUCGUCUGGCUCCACGGCCUCGGCGACAAUGGAGCCAGCUGGUCUCAACUGUUGGAAACUCUUCCCCUUCCUAAUAUAAAAUGGAUCUGCCCAACUGCACCUACGAGGCCUGUGGCAAUUUUUGGUGGAUUCCCAUCUACUGCAUGGUUUGAUGUUGCUGAUCUUUCAGAAGAUUCUCCUGAUGAUGUUGAGGGGCUGGAUUCCUCAGCUGCACAUGUAGCAAAUUUAUUGUCUACCGAACCUGCAGACAUCAAGCUUGGCGUUGGUGGCUUUAGUAUGGGUGCUGCUACUGCGCUUUACUCCGGUACUUGCUUUGCUCAUGGAAAAUAUGGAAAUGGCAAUCCAUACCCUGUGAACCUAAGUGUGGCUGUUGGUCUCAGUGGCUGGCUCCCGUGUGCCAGGUCAUUGAAGAACAAAAUUGAGAGCUCACAGGAGGCUGCACAGAAGGCUUCAUCAUUACCUCUUAUGCUUUGUCAUGGAAAAGCUGAUGAUGUGGUCCUCUACAAACAUGGAGAGAGAUCUGCUGAUGCACUUAAGUCAACCGGGUUUGCAAAUGUGGAAUUCAAGUCCUACAGCAGGUUUGCUACCUUCUUUAUUCCCCUUGAAUGUUGUGAUUUCCUUGUGCUGAUUGAUCUCCUCUCCUUGGAAGACUCGGGCACUAUACCGUUCCAGAGGAGAUGGACGAAGUUGUCAAGUGGCUUACAGCAAGCUUGGAACUCGGCAGUUCAUCGUCAACUUGAUUGA
RNAcentral lists this ribosomal RNA (846 nucleotides) under Triticum aestivum (bread wheat). RNAcentral describes it as "partial small subunit ribosomal RNA". Lineage: Eukaryota; Viridiplantae; Streptophyta; Magnoliopsida; Poales; Poaceae. The record is from RNAcentral.